UCGCGGCCACGCCGUUAAACCCCAACUUCUGAAUGUUGACCUCGGAUCAGGUAGGAAUACCCGCUGAACUUAAGCAUAUCAAUAAGCCGGAGGAAUCGU
RNAcentral lists this ribosomal RNA (99 nucleotides) under Fusarium graminearum. RNAcentral describes it as "partial 28S ribosomal RNA". The record is from RNAcentral. Lineage: Eukaryota; Fungi; Ascomycota; Sordariomycetes; Hypocreales; Nectriaceae.